GACCUCAAAUCAGGUAGGACUACCCGCUGAACUUAAGCAUAUCAAUAAGCGGAGGAAAAGAAACUAACAAGGAUUCCCCUAGUAACUGCGAGUGAAGCGGGAAAAGCUCAAAUUUAAAAUCUGGCAGCCUUUGGUUGUCCGAGUUGUAAUCUAGAGAAGUGUUAUCCGCGCUGGACCGUGUACAAGUCUCCUGGAAUGGAGCGUCAUAGAGGGUGAGAAUCCCGUCUUUGACACGGACUGCCAGGGCUUUGUGAUGCGCUCUCAAAGAGUCGAGUUGUUUGGGAAUGCAGCUCAAAAUGGGUGGUAAAUUCCAUCUAAAGCUAAAUAUUGGCGAGAGACCGAUAGCGAACAAGUACCGUGAGGGAAAGAUGAAAAGAACUUUGGAAAGAGAGUUAAACAGUACGUGAAAUUGCUGAAAGGGAAACGCUUGAAGUCAGUCGCAUUGUCCAGGGAUCAACCUUGCUUUUGCUUGGUGCACUUUCUGGUUGAUGGGUCAGCAUCAAUUUUGACUAUUGGAAAAAGAUUAGGGGAAUGUGGCAUCUUCGGAUGUGUUAUAACCCUUGGUUGUAUACAAUGGUNGGGAUUGAGGAACUCAGCACNCYGCAAG
This 607-nucleotide ribosomal RNA is filed under the name Cortinarius azureus. Its description in RNAcentral is "eukaryotic LSU rRNA". It matches the Rfam family "Eukaryotic large subunit ribosomal RNA", at positions 1 to 609 of the family's 3401-position model. The record is from RNAcentral. Lineage: Eukaryota; Fungi; Basidiomycota; Agaricomycetes; Agaricales; Cortinariaceae.